RNAcentral lists this ribosomal RNA (434 nucleotides) under Drosophila nasuta. Its description in RNAcentral is "partial 12S ribosomal RNA". Lineage: Eukaryota; Metazoa; Arthropoda; Insecta; Diptera; Drosophilidae. The record is from RNAcentral.
GUAUAAACUAGGAUUAGAUACCCUAUUAUUUAAAAUAUAAUUAUAAAUACUUAAGUAGUAGUAGUUAUGUUCUUGAAACUUAAAAAAUUUGGCGGUAUUUUAGUCUAUCCAGAGGAACCUGUUUUGUAAUCGAUAAUCCACGAUGGACCUUACUUAAGUUUGUAAUCAGUUUAUAUACCGUCGUUAUCAGAAUAUUUUAUAAGAAUAAAAAUAUUCAAUAAUUUAUAUUAAAAUUUAUAUCAGAUCAAGGUGUAGCUUAUAUUUAAGUAAUAAUGGGUUACAAUAAAAAUAUUUAAACGAAUAAAAUAAUGAAAAAAUUUUUGAAGGUGGAUUUGGCAGUAAAAUUAUAAAGAUUAAUAAUUUGAUUUUAGCUCUAAAAUAUGUACACAUCGCCCGUCGCUCUUAUUAUUAAGGUAAGAUAAGUCUAAAACAUA